GCUGACCAUGGUGGUGCAAGCCUGUGCUCCCAGCUAUUCAGGAGGCUGAGGUGGGAGGAUCAACUGAGCCCAGGGAGGUCAAGGCUGCAGUAAGCUGUGGACUGUGGUCACACCACUGCACUCCAGCCUGAGCAGGAGAGUAAGACCCUGUCUCAAAAAAAAAANNNNNNNNNNUUUUUUUUUUGAGACAGGGUCUUACUCUCCUGCUCAGGCUGGAGUGCAGUGGUGUGACCACAGUCCACAGCUUACUGCAGCCUUGACCUCCCUGGGCUCAGUUGAUCCUCCCACCUCAG
Non-coding RNA from Gorilla gorilla gorilla (western lowland gorilla), 293 nucleotides. It matches the Rfam family "Metazoan signal recognition particle RNA". Rfam says of the family: The signal recognition particle (SRP) is a universally conserved ribonucleoprotein. It is involved in the co-translational targeting of proteins to membranes. The record is from Rfam. Lineage: Eukaryota; Metazoa; Chordata; Mammalia; Primates; Hominidae.